Plectropomus leopardus (leopard coralgrouper) is the source of this 199-nucleotide long non-coding RNA. RefSeq lists it as uncharacterized. Lineage: Eukaryota; Metazoa; Chordata; Actinopteri; Perciformes; Serranidae. The record is from RefSeq and is a predicted model, not a curated record.
GCUGGCGUACCUGCAGAGCUCCCUGGACAAACUCACUGAAGCCAUCAAACUGGCCAAGGGUCAACCUGACAGCGUGCAGGAGGCCCUCAGGUUCACCAUGGACGUCAUCGGGGGAAAGUUUAAUUCUGCCAAAAAGGACAACGACUUCAUCUACCACGAGACGGUCCCAUCUCUGGAGACCCUCACCUCCGUCAAAGGU